UGCCUUACACAUGCAAGUCGAACGGUAACAGGUCUUCGGAUGCUGACGAGUGGCGAACGGGUGAGUAAUACAUCGGAACGUGCCCGAUCGUGGGGGAUAACGCAGCGAAAGCUGUGCUAAUACCGCAUACGAUCUACGGAUGAAAGCGGGGGAUCGCAAGACCUCGCGCGGACGGAGCGGCCGAUGGCAGAUUAGGUAGUUGGUGGGAUAAAAGCUUACCAAGCCGACGAUCUGUAGCGGGUCUGAGAGGAUGAUCCGCCACACUGGGACUGAGACACGGCCCAGACUCCUACGGGAGGCAGCAGUGGGGAAUUUUGGACAAUGGGGGAAACCCUGAUCCAGCCAUGCCGCGUGCAGGAUGAAGGCCUUCGGGUUGUAAACUGCUUUUGUACGGAACGAAAAGACUCUGGUUAAUACCUGGGGCUCAUGACGGUACCGUAAGAAUAAGCACCGGCUA
This 457-nucleotide ribosomal RNA is filed under the name uncultured bacterium. RNAcentral describes it as "bacterial SSU rRNA". It matches the Rfam family "Bacterial small subunit ribosomal RNA", at positions 45 to 499 of the family's 1533-position model. The record is from RNAcentral.